GCAUCCUUCCAAGUAAAACAUGCCUUGUCCGUGAACAAAACUGUUCCCAGAAAAUCGGCGUCUUUGGUAGUCUUUCGAUGUGGCGGAGAUGGGGCGCAUUCGGCCGACAUGGAUUGGCUUAAGUCAAAUUUCUAAGGCACAAAAUGCAAAAUCCAAACCUCAAAGAGGGUAUAUUACGAGGACAAAAAGUACUUGUCUCUAUCACCCCGUAAAGUUUGGCAGUAGUUUUUUGAUCACCUUGUAUUAUAGUUUUUUUCUUUGUGAUAAAUUUUACUGUCUUAUUGUUUUUGCAUUUCAGUU
Molecule: long non-coding RNA, 300 nt
Filed under: Androctonus crassicauda
Lineage: Eukaryota; Metazoa; Arthropoda; Arachnida; Scorpiones; Buthidae
Source: RNAcentral